Caenorhabditis elegans is the source of this 21-nucleotide non-coding RNA. NCBI's taxonomy places the organism in Eukaryota, Metazoa, Nematoda, Chromadorea, Rhabditida, Rhabditidae. The record is from Ensembl.
UUGUUUGAUCAUACCGCAUUU